GUGGUGCCCAAGGCCCUAACCAGCGGCUGGAAGAUUCACAACUGUAUUACCUGAACUGAAGGGGGUGGGCAGGCCUGCUAGAUUGCAGCUGCCCCUUUUUGCAUGCCCAUUGUCAGACCAGGGAGGAAAAGCUGGGGGAGGGUGGGAGCGAUGCCAAGGGCAUCCUGGAUCUGAGGCGGGGCAGUCCAGCCAGGACAGGGAGGACCAGGAACCUCAUCUCCACAGCAACCAGCUGGGGCCACGAGAAGGAAGACAGGAAAUCAAAAGGAAGGGUGGGGACCCAGCCUUCAACUCACUGGGUACAGACUAUGGGAAAAAAUAGGUGGUGGUAGGUCUUUCCAGGGUCAACGCCAAGGAGAGGCCUGAGAGGUGCAUAGCAAAGGCUGUGGCACUGACUCCAUGGCUCAGAGGAGGGAAAUCCAGGGAAGGGCUGAAUGCUCUGUGUUUAAGGGAGAGAUAGAAUGGACAGCUGGGCAAACACACACCCGGGGACUCCUUUCUCCAAGACCGAUGGGCAUUGGGGGUGGCAGAGGAAAUACCAGCAUGGAACAACAUCCCAGGGACCCGCGUCCUCCCCAGGUUACAGUCCUGGGUCCCUGCAUGGCUGCAUGUUGUCUGCAGGCCACAUCUCCUCAGGACUCCCGCACUCAUCACUUUCCCAUUGCUAUGGAAGAGAGGUGUCAAGGUGGCACCUGCCUCCCUGUCCGUAGUGCUCAGGUGUGUGGCUACCAGAGGAAAAGCCACUCCCAACCUUUGCCGACAACCAUCCCGUUUCUGGGUUCCUGGAGAAGUCUGGGAAGCUGCUCUGUUGUAGAGGCUGAAAGGAGGGCUGGUGAGAGCCCCCAGCUGAAACCAGCCCUGCCCCUUACCCUUCCUCACCCCUCUACCUUCACUCUCCUCCUAACACUCCAGGGUUUUGUUUUUUGUUUGUUUUUUGCUUUUCUCACCCCAGGGCUCCUGCCUCUCCAGCCUGGAGACAGAUUUGAUUUGGGAUUGUUACAAAAAUAAUAAUAACCCAAAUGCAGAGAAGCCACGGAAAGGGCUGAGGGCAACCCUCCCCUCCCCCCGCCCUCCUCCCUCCCCAUUCCAAACCGAGUACAAAACCGCACCCAAAGCAGACAUUCUGUACAGGGGGGUGGGUGGGCUGGGGAGCAAGCGGGAGGGGCGGCCCUGCGGUUGCUCUGUACAAGUCCGGGUUGGUGACGGCCCCAGCAGUCCCCACAGGGCCCCUGGGGGGCGCAGGAAGUGGGCAGGCGCCUCUAGAUGAAAUAUUCCUUCUUGUCGUCCCCUCCUGACUGCCCGCCUUCUGCAUUGAUGAUGGCCGUGUCCGCGUCUGGAGCAUCGUCGGAGCCUUUUGCCUCAUGUGUCAGGUAGGUUCCUGUGUAGAGACAGAGGCUUCUCCUCUCAGGAGCAGCUUCCCAACCUCUGAGUCCACCCUGCCCACUUUCUCACCCACCCACUCACACACUGCUCAAGUAAUUUUUCUCUUGCCAAUAGCUCUCUUCUACUCCACCUUACCUAAUUCGCAUUUUGCUUCCAACAUGCCUCACCUGACCACACCCUUCAUGAAUAAUGAAUCCUACCCCUAAGUAGAAUCUCAUCUAUAAUACAAAGCAAGAAAGAGAAGUGUGUGUGUGUGUGUGUGUGUGUGUGUGUGUGUGUGCUUGCACGCAUGCGUGUGUGUGUGUAUGCAUGCGUGUGCACGCAACUUGGUGACGGGGGAUCUGCUAUGUCAGCUUCAUGAGCAAAGCAAUUGAGAUCUGGCUUAUGUAUGACCAGCCUAUGGAGUCAGGCCGCUGGCUAGAAUUAAUAGCAGAGCAGGAAGUCUGAGAGGAAGGAAUGUGAGAAGAGGGUAGAGAGAAGGCAUGGAUAUAAGAGAGAAGGUAGAAAAGGGGGAGAGGAAAGAAAGGCAAUGAGAUCAAAGGAGAAAGAAAAUGAGGUUAAACAGACAGAAAGGAAGAAAGCGCAGGAAGCAAUGAGAUGGAGAUGCAGUUUCAGGAGCUCUCUGUCUUGCAGCAGGAGACCUGGAGGUAGAGCAGCAUGGGAGCAACCGCUGACUGAGUGGGAAGGUUUGAUUUCACUUGGACGAUCCCCAAGUGAUCAGGCUUUACUGCGGGGUUGGUGGUGCUCAGUUAUCACAGGGUUGGCAAUGAUAGGGUUGGCUCCAUUUUUAAUUCCCUAAACACUCCAAAGGGCUGACAAGUCUCUGAAGGCCCUUUCCACUGUCUGCUUCUCCUCGUGCCUGCCUCUGAUUGGUCUCCCUGCCCCUCCCAAGUUCUGCUGAUGCUCUCUUUGUGCCUCUGACCUUUGUGCCGGAUCAAGUAGUGGCCAAGGAAGAUGAGCAUGAUGAGCAGCAGGAAGACAAUGAAAGCCACGAUCCCACCGAUGAUGGCGUGGUAGGUGCUGGAGGAGGAGGGCACCGGACUGGGGUCUGGAAGAAAGGGCAACACACACAGUCAGAUCUGGGGAGAGCCCUUAUCUUAUAGCAUUCCAACUUGGCCAUGAAUAGUCUUACACAGC
This 2520-nucleotide long non-coding RNA is filed under the name Homo sapiens (human). Its description in RNAcentral is "non-protein coding CADM3-AS1:2". Lineage: Eukaryota; Metazoa; Chordata; Mammalia; Primates; Hominidae. The record is from RNAcentral.